Molecule: long non-coding RNA, 631 nt
Filed under: Ovis aries (sheep)
Lineage: Eukaryota; Metazoa; Chordata; Mammalia; Artiodactyla; Bovidae
Description: lncRNA (ENSOARG00000025832.1)
Source: RNAcentral
AAAGAGAGCUUAAAAAACAACAACAACAACAACAAAAAAAACACUCCCUUGUAGCUUCCCUAUUGGUCCAGUGGUUAACAGUGUGCUGCCAAUGCCAGUGCAGAAUGUGGGCUUGAUUUCUGGUCUGGAAAGACCUCACAUGCCAUUGGGCAACUAAGCCCUUGUGCCACAGCUACUGAGCCCAUACAUUCUAGAGCCCGUGCUCUACAACAAGAGAAGUCACCACAGUAAAAGGCGUACACACUGCAAGUAGAAGUUAUCCUCCACUCACUGCAACUGGAGAAAGCUUGGGGCAGCAAUCAAGACCUAGCACAUCCAAAAAUAGAUAAAUAAAACUUAAAAAACCAAGUUGGCACAGAGUUGUCAACUGCCAAGAAGCUGGCGAUCAACCAAGGCUGGUUCUACUGGGUGACUCCUCAUGCUGGCAAGUGUCAAGUGCCCACGAGAGAGACCCCUGGUCUAUAAUUCCGGAGCUCAGUGGGGAGGAAACAGCUUACUGGCAUCUGUUAGCAAAUAGAGGACUUCCUUAUAUGUCCCCUCUGCUCUAAUCAGACAGCAUUUGACAUCUUUCCUGUUCAUGCUCUGUUAAUUUCCAUCUCAGGAUUUCCUGUAAGUUUAUCCUUUACCAGAA